This 442-nucleotide ribosomal RNA is filed under the name uncultured bacterium. RNAcentral's name for it is "bacterial SSU rRNA". It matches the Rfam family "Bacterial small subunit ribosomal RNA", at positions 958 to 1398 of the family's 1533-position model. The record is from RNAcentral.
AACGCGAAGAACCUUACCUGGGCUCGAAAUGUAGUGGACCGGGGUGGAAACAUCCCUUCCCCGCAAGGGGCCGCUAUAUAGGUGCUGCAUGGCUGUCGUCAGCUCGUGUCGUGAGAUGUUGGGUUAAGUCCCGCAACGAGCGCAACCCUUGUUACCAGUUGCUACCAUUUAGUUGAGCACUCUGGUGAGACCGCCUCGGAUAACGGGGAGGAAGGCGGGGAUGACGUCAAGUCCUCAUGGCCUUUAUGUCCAGGGCUACACACGUGCUACAAUGGCCGGUACAAACCGUCGCAAACCCGCGAGGGGGAGGCUAAUCGGAAAAAGCCGGCCUCAGUUCGGAUCGCAGUCUGCAACUCGACUGCGUGAAGCUGGAAUCGCUAGUAAUCGCGGAUCAGAACGCCGCGGUGAAUACGUUCCCGGGCCUUGUACACACCGAGACGAC